RNAcentral lists this ribosomal RNA (421 nucleotides) under uncultured bacterium. Its description in RNAcentral is "partial 16S ribosomal RNA". It matches the Rfam family "Bacterial small subunit ribosomal RNA", at positions 360 to 773 of the family's 1533-position model. The record is from RNAcentral.
AAUAUUGGACAAUGGGGGCAACCCUGAUCCAGCCAUGCCGCGUGUGUGAAGAAGGUCUUCGGAUUGUAAAGCACUUUAAGUUGUGAGGAAGGGCUUUAGGUUAAUACCCUGACGUGUUGACGUUAUCAACAGAAUAAGCCCCGGCUAACUCUGUGCCAGCAGCCGCGGUAAUACAGAGGGUGCAAUCGUUAAUCGGAAUUACUGGGCGAAAAGGGCGCGUAGGUGGUUCAGUAAUAUGGGUGUGAAAUCCCCGGGCUGAACCUGGGAACUGCUUUCAUAACUGCUGAGCUAGAGUACGGUAGAGGGGAGUGGAAUUUCCUGUGUAGCGGUGAAAUGCGUAGAUAUAGGAAGGAACACCAGUGGCGAAGGCGACUACCUGGACUGAUACUGACACUGAGGUGCGAAAGCGUGGGGAGCAAAC